RNAcentral lists this ribosomal RNA (255 nucleotides) under uncultured bacterium. Its description in RNAcentral is "partial 16S ribosomal RNA". It matches the Rfam family "Bacterial small subunit ribosomal RNA", at positions 99 to 353 of the family's 1533-position model. The record is from RNAcentral.
CGGACGGGUGCGUAACGCGUAUGCAACCUGCCUGACACAGGGGGAUAAUCCGAAGAAAUUUGGUCUAAUACCCCAUAAUACCGAUAUAGGCAUCUAUGUUGGUUGAAAGCUUUGGUGGUGUCAGAUGGGCAUGCGUUGUAUUAGCUAGUUGGUGAGGUAAUGGCUCACCAAGGCGACGAUACAUAGGGGGACUGAGAGGUUAACCCCCCACACUGGUACAGAGACACGGACCAGACUCCUACGGGAGGCAGCAUG